AGAGUUUGAUCAUGGCUCAGAUUGAACGCUGGCGGCAGGCCUAACACAUGCAAGUCGAGCGGUAGAGGGAAGCUUGCUUCUCUUGAGAGCGGCGGACGGGUGAGUAAUGCCUAGGAAUCUGCCUGGUAGUGGGGGAUAACGUUCGGAAACGAACGCUAAUACCGCAUACGUCCUACGGGAGAAAGCAGGGGACCUUCGGGCCUUGCGCUAUCAGAUGAGCCUAGGUCGGAUUAGCUAGUUGGUGAGGUAAUGGCUCACCAAGGCGACGAUCCGUAACUGGUCUGAGAGGAUGAUCAGUCACACUGGAACUGAGACACGGUCCAGACUCCUACGGGAGGCAGCAGUGGGGAAUAUUGGACAAUGGGCGAAAGCCUGAUCCAGCCAUGCCGCGUGUGUGAAGAAG
Molecule: ribosomal RNA, 403 nt
Filed under: uncultured Pseudomonas sp.
Lineage: Bacteria; Pseudomonadati; Pseudomonadota; Gammaproteobacteria; Pseudomonadales; Pseudomonadaceae
Description: bacterial SSU rRNA
Rfam family: Bacterial small subunit ribosomal RNA
Source: RNAcentral